Molecule: ribosomal RNA, 419 nt
Filed under: uncultured bacterium
Lineage: Bacteria
Description: partial 16S ribosomal RNA
Rfam family: Bacterial small subunit ribosomal RNA
Source: RNAcentral
UAUUGGACAAUGGGGGCAACCCUGAUCCAGCCAUGCCGCGUGUGUGAAGAAGGUCUUCGGAUUGUAAAGCACUUUAAGUUGGGAGGAAGGGCUUUAGGUUAAUACCCUGAAGCUGUGACGUUACCAACAGAAUAAGCACCGGCUAACUCUUUGCGAGCAGCCGCGGUAAUACAGAGGGUGCAACCGUUAAUCGGAAUUACUGGGCGUAAAGCGCGCGUAGGUGGUUCAGUAAGAUGGGUGUGAAAUCCCCGGGCUUCACCUGGGAACUGCUUGCAUUACUGCUUAGCUAGAGUACGGUAGGGGGUAGUGGAAUUUCCUGUGUAGCGGUGAAAUGCGUAGAUAUAGGAAGGAACACCAGUGGCGAAGGCGACUACCUGGACUGAUACUGACACUGAGGUGCGAAAGCGUGGGGAGCAAAC